UACGAAGGGGGCAAGCGUUGUUCGGAAUUACUGGGCGUAAAGAGCGCGCAGGCGGUCGUUCAAGUCGAGUGUGAAAGCCCCCGGCUCAACUGGGGAGGGUCACUCGAUACUGAUCGACUCGAAGGCAGGAGAGGGAAGCGGAAUUCCCGGUGUAGUGGUGAAAUGCGUAGAUAUCGGGAGGAACACCAGUGGCGAAGGCGGCUUUCUGGCCUGCUCUUGACGCUGAGGCGCGAAAGCUAGGGUAGCAAACGGG
This 253-nucleotide ribosomal RNA is filed under the name uncultured bacterium. RNAcentral describes it as "partial 16S ribosomal RNA". It matches the Rfam family "Bacterial small subunit ribosomal RNA", at positions 524 to 776 of the family's 1533-position model. The record is from RNAcentral.